AUAAUGGCUCUUUUAAGAGCCAAAAGUGGCCAGUUAAAAGCCACUU
Molecule: non-coding RNA, 46 nt
Organism: Nematostella vectensis (starlet sea anemone)
Lineage: Eukaryota; Metazoa; Cnidaria; Anthozoa; Actiniaria; Edwardsiidae
Source: Rfam